GAAAGGAGGUUUUUUUGUGAAGGAACUACCAAAUAAUUGUUGCAAAAUUGGACCAAAUCAUUUUUAUAAAAUACUAGGCCAUAUUUAAUGCACAAUUGACAAAAUGGUUGGGUGUAAAAAAAAUUUAUCCACCUCUCGUGAAAAAGACAAAUUUCCGCCGAUUCAGCUGGAAGCGGGUCAAAUUUGAACUGCAGCUGCCUCAUAGUUUGCUAUUUAUUUUUUCCAAAAAUCAUUUCUAGGUACAUAAGUAUCUAUUUAAUCAGAUAAACACCAAAAGUUUUCCAAGAUUCAACCACUAGCUAGGAACGGUCAUUCCCGCCGUUUUAACCACAUUUUGAAACGGGCAUAAAAAAAUCAAAAAAACAAUAAAAUGGGAAACCUUCGCAUUGUGUCAUCAUAUGUCGCCAAGUUCCUAGGAAAAAUAACAAACUUGUAAUACGGUAAUUAUUAUAAAGAAGUGUUCUCAGAAAUGAGCUAUCACGUGUGGAGAUCAAUGGCUUUCAAGCCAAAUGAUCAAUCUUAUGGCCACAUUCAUGGCACAGUUUGUUCAAAUGUUCUCAUAUUGUGCACAAGAGUGCAUAUUGGAAUGACAAACAAUGUUGCCUAAGGAAGUUUUCAUUUCCGUUGGACGAAAAAACCAUUUUCCAUUUUUCGAGUGCCCGAAAGGAGGUUUUUUUGUGAAGGAACUACCAAAUAAUUGUUGCAAAAUUGGACCAAUUCAUUUUUAUAAAAUACUAGGCCAUAUUUAAUGCACAAUUGACAAAAUGGUUGGGUGUAAAAAAAAUUAUCCACCUCUCGUGAAAAAGACAAAUUUCCGCCGAUUCAGUUGGAAGCGGGUCAAAUUUGAAGUGCAGCUCCCUCAUAGUUUGCUAUUUAUUUUUUCCAAAAAUCAUUUCUAGGUACAUAAGUAUCUAUUUAAUCAGAGAAACACCAAAAGUUUUCCAAGAUUCAACCACUAGCUAGGAACGGUCAUUCCCGCCGUUUUGACCACAUUUUGAAACGGGCAUAAAAAAUUCAAAAAAAAACAAAAAAA
RNAcentral lists this long non-coding RNA (1033 nucleotides) under Triticum aestivum (bread wheat). Its description in RNAcentral is "long non-coding RNA (TAES_LNC006962)". The record is from RNAcentral. Lineage: Eukaryota; Viridiplantae; Streptophyta; Magnoliopsida; Poales; Poaceae.